Molecule: long non-coding RNA, 717 nt
Organism: Mugil cephalus (flathead mullet)
Lineage: Eukaryota; Metazoa; Chordata; Actinopteri; Mugiliformes; Mugilidae
Exons: 3
Source: RefSeq, a predicted model, not a curated record
UCAGUGCAUACCCUCUAUAGACGUGUGGUGGUCCAUCCCCUCCAAAAUGAAAUAAAUAAAAUAAACCUAGGUUCAUGGAGGCAAAAUAACCAACAUUAGUAACUAUGCUAAUGACAGACAUUUGAAAUAUUACUCAAUAGCGAUUAUGGGGGGUGGAAUGUCAUUGGUCACCCCUGUAGGCUGAGGCCGUAAUUAUGAGCUGGUCUCAGGUCAGAGAAGUUGGCCACACCCACUUUGUUAAUGGCCAUUCUAGGUCGAAGAUGCGCUGUCAGUGACGCGAGUGAGUAUGAAGAGAAAUGAUAACAUCCAAAGCUUCUUUUCCAAAAAAGAAAUGAGUCAGACUCAGCCACAGCUUCUCCUGCACGACAUGGUUCCUCACCUGGUUAGGAAGAUGAUUCUACUGAUGUUGACACAAAUUGUGAAGAGGCUCUUCAGGCCCCACCUGCACACUCUGUCCCAGCUCGGUCACUUGACAUGGACAAGUAUAUCUAACUUUCUGCAACCCAUCUCAAAAACAGGGGAGUUAUUCUGUGUUAAAUUUGAUUUGUUAUGGAUCGUGGUUCCUGUAAAAGCACUUCAGAAGGAGAAUUAAACCGUGCAGCUCUUUGCAUCUUGUAUUUAUUUAGUGUUGUUCUUGAGAGUUUAAAAAUUUACAGAACAUUGUGUUAUUGCACACACGUAUUAUCUUCAUAUUGUUCUUGAGAAUUUAAAAGUUAA